GAUGAACGCUGGCGGCGUGCCUAAUACAUGCAAGUCGAGCGAACAGACGAGGAGCUUGCUCCUCUGACGUUAGCGGCGGACGGGUGAGUAACACGUGGAUAACCUACCUAUAAGACUGGGAUAACUUCGGGAAACCGGAGCUAAUACCGGAUAAUAUAUUGAACCGCAUGGUUCAAUAGUGAAAGACGGUUUUGCUGUCACUUAUAGAUGGAUCCGCGCCGCAUUAGCUAGUUGGUAAGGUAACGGCUUACCAAGGCGACGAUGCGUAGCCGACCUGAGAGGGUGAUCGGCCACACUGGAACUGAGACACGGUCCAGACUCCUACGGGAGGCAGCAGUAGGGAAUCUUCCGCAAUGGGCGAAAGCCUGACGGAGCAACGCCGCGUGAGUGAUGAAGGUCUUCGGAUCGUAAAACUCUGUUAUUAGGGAAGAACAUAUGUGUAAGUAACUAUGCACGUCUUGACGGUACCUAAUCAGAAAGCCACGGCUAACUACGUG
This 497-nucleotide ribosomal RNA is filed under the name uncultured bacterium. RNAcentral's name for it is "partial 16S ribosomal RNA". It matches the Rfam family "Bacterial small subunit ribosomal RNA", at positions 28 to 507 of the family's 1533-position model. The record is from RNAcentral.